Molecule: ribosomal RNA, 607 nt
Filed under: uncultured fungus
Lineage: Eukaryota; Fungi
Description: eukaryotic LSU rRNA
Rfam family: 5.8S ribosomal RNA (bases 239-392)
Source: RNAcentral
CUUGGUCAUUUAGAGGAAGUAAAAGUCGUAACAAGGUCUCCGUUGGUGAACCAGCGGAGGGAUCAUUACAGAGUUGCAAAACUCCCAACCAUUGUGAACCUACCUCACCGUUGCUUCGGCGGGUGGCCCGGGGCAACCCGCGCCGCGCCGGCCCCCUCUUCGGGGGCCCGGCAAACCCGUCAGAGGACCGAAACUCUGUUAUUACUGGCCUCUCUGAGUAACUUAUACAAUAAGUCAAAACUUUCAACAACGGAUCUCUUGGUUCUGGCAUCGAUGAAGAACGCAGCGAAAUGCGAUACGUAAUGUGAAUUGCAGAUUUCAGUGAAUCAUCGAAUCUUUGAACGCACAUUGCGCCCGCCAGUAUUCUGGCGGGCAUGCCUGUUCGAGCGUCAUUUCAACCAUCAAGCCCCUGCGCUUGUGUUGGAGCCCUGCGGCUGCCGCAGGCUCCCAAACCCAGUGGCGGGCUCGUCGUCGUACCGAGUGCAGUAAACUUACCACGCUCAGGGCACGCGACGGGUGACCGGCCGUAAAACGCCCCCCUUCUCAAGGUUGACCUCGGAUCAGGUAGGAAUACCCGCUGAACUUAAGCAUAUCAAUAAGCGGAGGA